GACUACAUGAAGCUGGAAUCGCUAGUAAUCGCGAAUCAGAAUGUCGCGGUGAAUACGUUCCCGGGUCUUGUACACACCGCCCGUCACACCAUGGGAGUCGGAAAUGCCCGAAGUCAGUGACCUAACCGAAAGGGAGGAGCUGCCGAAGGUGGAGCCGGUAACUGGGGUGAAGUCGUAACAAGGUAGC
Molecule: ribosomal RNA, 187 nt
Filed under: uncultured bacterium
Lineage: Bacteria
Description: partial 16S ribosomal RNA
Rfam family: Bacterial small subunit ribosomal RNA
Source: RNAcentral